The sequence is a ribosomal RNA, 434 nucleotides long. It matches the Rfam family "Bacterial large subunit ribosomal RNA", at positions 1852 to 2564 of the family's 2925-position model.
GCAAUACCUGCCCAGUGCGAAAUAUUACUGUAAACGGCCGCCCUAGCGUGAGGGUGCUAAGGUAGCGAAAUUCCUUGCCUUUUGAUUGUAGGCCUGCAUGAAUGGUUUAACGAGGGUUUAACUGUCUCUAAAUUUUUUAUUGAAAUUGUACUGAAGGUGAAGAUACCUUCAUUAAAAAGUUAGACAAAAAGACCCCGUGCAACUUUGAAAAUUGACUUUAUUCAGGAGUAAAAGAUUUUUAGGUGGGGCGCCUAGAAAGUAAGCCUAACCUUUCUGAGUAACUAACUCUUUCCGGAUUUGACCCGAUUAUAUUCGAUCAUAGGAGAAGUUACGCCGGGGAUAACAGGCUAAUCCUUUAGUAGAGUUCGUAUUGGCUAAAGGGAUUGGCACCUCGAUGUUGAAUCAGGGAUGAUAGCUUCAAGGCGUAGAGGCUU